GCCAGUCAACAGAGGAGAAAGGCCUGGAGCAAUGAUGUGAGGAAAAGCCUGACUGCAGGUACAGCUCAAGCCGGCUGUCUGGACCCCGCAGCAUCAGGACAAGGAUCCAGAGGCAGGACUGAAGACAUUGGUAAACUUGCUGUUGCUGGUGUGCUUGGGGGCAAGCUGUUCCUCACUUGACAACAGCAGAUGCAUCCACCCAGUCCCCAGCACAAGGCCAUGGGUCUCCCUUGUGAAAUCUGCUGUACUGGGAGGUGAGGAAAGAGUUUGGUGUUAAGGAGUGACCCCUCUGAUCAUCUUUCUUUCACUGCAGCAUGCACCUCAGUUGUUCAAGAAAGUUCCCACGGCUCUUUGGAAGAGACAGUUUGAAACAUUUUUGGGAGGAGAGAUGCAAAUGAAGUGACAUAAUCUUUCAUGUUAUUUAUUGCUUUACAGUUUGGGGAUAUGGGACUAGGUAUUCAGAAGUUUUCAAGUUAUUCACUUUUUACCAUUUUUGUGCUUUUGUUACUCAUUUAUAUUUGCAGUAAAGUUUUAGUCUUAUAAGUCUCUGUGUAUUUUCAAUCAAUGUACUGAUUGCUGUACUCAUUUUCAACACUUUUCCAGAUCAGCCACAAUGAGUUCUACAGUUUGACACAAACUUCCCUUGUGCAGGUCACCCUAAGGCCUUGGCUAGAACCCAAGAUCAAAAUCCCACUCCAAGUUUUGCAAGCUCUCCCAACCACCAACCCCUUUUUACAGGUCAUGCCUUCAGUAUUAAAAUUAAAUGUGCACUGAACACAAUACUUGUAUCCCUGAUCCGUGAAUUCAAGCUACUUUCUGGAGUUCUUUUCAAUGUUAACAUCUCCACCAGAACACAAAAGGAAAUUCUCAUGCCCUAGAUCGACCCAGACU
Molecule: long non-coding RNA, 891 nt
Organism: Alligator sinensis (Chinese alligator)
Lineage: Eukaryota; Metazoa; Chordata; Crocodylia; Alligatoridae
Exons: 3
Source: RefSeq, a predicted model, not a curated record